UGCCUCUGAGCCCGGCCCUCGCCCCCGCGUGCCCCUGGGGGUGGGCAGCCCAGAGUUGCCUGUGGGGUCGGGUCCGCAGCGUCCCUGGGUUUCCUGCCCACGGGCAGGCUCCUCGGCCCCGGGCCUCGUUCUCUAUUCGGGGUGGGAAUCGCGGCGGGUGUAAACGCCGGGAGCGGGUGGUAGGCGGGGAGGACUGGGGGUCCCCGGUGGGGGUCGACGGGCGGCUGUCUUCAGGGAAGGCGAGGAUGGCGGGGUGGGGACCUUUAGCCUCUGCGCGUAAGGGAGGUGGUCGGUUUGGAAGGGGCAGGAAAAGUGACUCGGCGCUGGAUCUGUCUCAUGCCUGCUUUGGGUCUGGGGUCCUGGUAAAGGCCACUUAACGUGGACAAUUCCGCCGGCGUGCGUGUCCGGGAGAGAACUUAAUGGCCAGGCGGCCGCCGAAGCGCGUGCGCCUUCGUGCAUGAUGUCCCCUAAUCCCCGCGUCCGGCUCCAGGCCACAGCCACGCGUGGCCACUGGACAGCUGGGCCGUGGAGUCUGGGUUCACGUGUGCUUUAAUGUGGAAUGCUCGUCAUAUUUCGUGGACUCAAGAAGUGAUAAGAAUGUAAAAUAUUCCAAUCCUAAUUUUGUUUAUUACUUAUCAAAGUAAUAUCUUGGAUAUAUUUUUUGAACUUAUUUUCACUUUUUUCUGUCAACUUUUUUAAAUGCCUGCUAGAUUAAUACUGACUGCUAGAAAAUUUUGAAUUACCUACGUGGCUCCCGUUGUACUUCUGCUGUUCUCGAGUAAACUUUGUUCCUCCCCCAAUUUCACAGCUUGGAGGCGGAGGCUGGAAGAGCUGACCAGCCCCAAAGCUAGUCAGUGAAGGCAUCUCGCUCCCUUCUACAAAGGGAGAGCCCAGGUGAGUUUUAGAGGCUUGGUCCGGGUGAGGUAAGACCCAGCCGUCAUUGUUCUCAGGGACCAUCCCAGCACAUCCUCUGUUUCCUCUCUGGGGCCAGUUUCUCCAGCUAUGAAAGGAUGGUAAUUAUAGGUGCCCCGCAGCUGGCUUUGUGAGUAGGAAAUGAGAAGCUCUAUAUGAAAGCAGGUCCAGUUUAUGGAGCAAAAACACCCCCAUAAAAUCCAGGGCGAUGCUGUCAUUAUAAACGUUUAAGCCCAUUUGCCACAUGAAUGGUGGGCAAAGUCACGGCUUCGUCACCCACGCUUCAGGAGGCCAGUCCUCGGGGUCCCUCCAAAAGCAGGCAAGCAGGUGCCGGGCACCUCCCCGCAGGUCAGGGAUGGGUUUCCUAGGCCUCCUCCUCCUCCUCCUCUCCGCCCCCCUCCCCCAUGCUGCUAGGCCCCCAGGGCUCAGCCCCUCCUACAGAUGCUCUUUCCAGAUGCCUAGGACCCGGCCUCCACCGCUACCCCCAGCUCCCAUGUCCUGGGCUCCUCACGACCCGCUGGAGCAUCCCAGAACCUCUCCAGAGAAUGGCCCUGCUCCAGGUAACUUCUCUGAUUACAAGGUUCCACCAAGAUUUUUCUGGAGACUACUGUCUUUUGGUUUUUGUUUCAUUCAAGGUGGGAAUUUGGGGCCAAGUAGGAGCAGAAGAUGAGACCUGGAAGGGACGGUAUUGGGGACUUGGGGACCCUGACAGGUGGGCAUCUCCGUGCUUGUGGGAGGAUGCCCACUCUGCUGCAUCCUGGUUGGGAGGUUAAGCAGGUCACCUAAGCUCUCAGCCUCUGUUACUGUGUCUGAAACAUGGGAAUUGGCUUUUGUUACAUUGUGAAGACGAAAGACAAUGUCUGUGAACUGGGUGUUUAAUGACUAUGUCAGUGACAGCAUUCAUUCCAGCAGGCCCAGGCCCCUGGGGGUCACUGGCAGCAAACGUUCUUCCCAAGGCUGCCCUCUCUGCCCCACAAAGUGCACCCAGCCUGCCUCCUCGCCAGCCCCCGCCUUCAUGUCUGUUCAUGUAUAAUCAGAUGCACACACAGGCAGAGUUUUGAAUGAUGCCUGCCUGACCUAAGGUGACUCAUCCCAGGGCUGUGAGCUGCCCUCCUCCGCCACCUGGGCAUCCCAGACCCCACCAAGGGCCACACAGCACCGUGCAGACAACAGGAGGGAAGGGGGCCAACUGAGCCUCCCUGCCCCAGAAUAGACUUUGAAGAGUUCUGGGGAGAAGGCACUCUGGGCUGAUGAUGACAACAUUCAGACUGGAGAGGGAAGGUGAAGCCUGGGCCUGCGUUUUACUGAAGGUCUCAGGCUCCCGUCUCUCAGUCUGCCUGCCCGCCCCUCUCCUGCCUUCACUGAGAGCCUUCGAGUGCCCUCUGCAUGCGUGGUACUCCGGUGGUGGUGCCAUCUCUUAAGAGAGAGAUGUGAUCUAGUUGAAAUAUAUUUAGUGGGGGUCCCAAAAUUUUGAGAUCAGUUUCCCCUGUAGAAUAAUGGAAACCCAAGAACCAUCCCAGCAGUAAAAUUGUAUCAGUCAUUCUGCAACAGUAUCACGUUCUCUUCUUCUGUGCCCUCAGAGAAGGCCCAGGGGACAAGCCAUCUCAGUCUCUCCUUCCUGUGACACUUACGUAAAAGAGCCCUGUCUGCUUCUUUGACUGAGUGCACACAUCCAGGUUUAUAAUAAAAGCAUCUCUUUAUGAAGAUGGAGGAAUUUUGCUUAAAGCACUUGAGGUGCUUCCUUUUUAAAAAGACUGCCUGAAGCAUGAACAGUCUGAGCUCCAGUUUAAUUUACUUUGAAGACGUCAAGUCCAAAAUUUAUAAAUUUUUGCACCAGACAACAACAGUUUGGAGUAAAUAUAUAGUAAUGUUUUUCAGCUACCUUCUAGAAUGUUUCAUGUCCCAGUAUGAAUUAUGUUUACUAGCGCUGUCAGUCAGACCUUUCAAAAUUGAGGAAAAAAAAUAUAGUAUACAGUGUGUGACUAUGUAAUACACAUAUGUAACAUAAACAUACACAUUUUUAACGUGGUAAGAACAUAUUUCAUAUAAACAUAUUUUCUGAGUACACAAUUAGGAAAUGUAUCAAAUACUAAAGAACACGGGUGUGUCUUUCCACUCUCCCCUGGAUGUGUUUAUUUUCACGUUCAUGUUUGACUUUUCCCUUUUUUUCCCCCUUUCAUGGGUUGUUUAGAUGUUUUUGUUUAUUCCUUUUUAACAUAGUUUCAAUCAUCUUUGCCUUGGACAUUAAGAAUGGGAAGUACUCUGUCUUCUUACACCGUGACUUAAGUGAGACGUAGUCUCAUAAAUUCUCAAAUGUAUGGAACCUUCUUCCAGCUGCUGCCGUUUCCUCCGUAAUCUGUCUGGACUACACUGGUUUCUCUGAUUAAAUCUGCUUCACACGGCCAUGGCUGUUCACAUGAGUGGAGUGAAUUUCCCCCCAUUCAGCCCACACCCCUAUAUUCCCUGAGUGUUAGGAGCACAGGCCUGGAUGGAUGGGAGUGGAUGCACAUCCUGACUGCCACUUAUUAGCUGUGUGACUUAGGGCAAGUUACUUAACCUCUCUGUGCCUCAAUUGCCUCAUCUGUAAAGUGGGACUAAUAAUUGUACCUAGUCCCUGGGGUUGUUACAUGGAUUGAAUGAAUUAAUAUGGGAAAGCACUUAGAAUACCCCCUGAUCCACAGUAAAUGUUAUGUAAAUCUAAGCUAUUACAACUGGUAUGACUAUUUCCCUCCCUCCUUCCAGGGAGCUUUUCUCUAUAAAUCAGUGCUGAAA
This is a long non-coding RNA of Camelus dromedarius (Arabian camel), 3684 nucleotides long. RefSeq lists it as uncharacterized. The transcript is spliced from 2 exons. NCBI's taxonomy places the organism in Eukaryota, Metazoa, Chordata, Mammalia, Artiodactyla, Camelidae. The record is from RefSeq and is a predicted model, not a curated record.